ACUCGCAUUCAACCAUAAAUCUGAAACUCUUUCUGAUCCCAACCUUGUUGAGUAAUAGUUAGGUAUUAUAAAUAGUAUAAAGUAAUCCACGGUAAUUGUACUCUAUCCAUUACAGAAAACUAACAAGAAGCCUCAUUCACUCGUGGUGGUAUAAGAAAUCAAAUACUCCUAUAAAAUAUAGUGACAUUAAAACCAAUCUUUACAAAUAUUAUGCAAAAAAUCCUAAUGUCUUUUUCAAGAAGUUUGGAUUUUAGACUUAUGGAAGAGCUGAGAAAGGAAAUGAGAGUAGCAAUUUCACAAAAGACAUAAGUGCAAAGAAAGAAGAAAUAACUUACAAAAAUAGGAACAUAGUGAUAAGAAUAAACUAUUAUUAGUUGGAACAUAAAUGGGUUAGGCUAUGGGAUGAAAAUGAAGAAAACUAAAAAGGUCAUUUCUAAGUUAAGCCUUGAAAGUCUUAAUCCAAUACAAGCGUGUUUAACUAGCAUCCUACUUUAUUAUUUGUCAAUGUUUAGGAUACCAAUAAGAGUAGAGGGAGCUAUAAGGAAGUUUCUAUGGAUAAAAAUAGAGAAGGAACAUAGAGAUCUAGUUAAUUAGAAGUUGUGUUGUCAAUCUAAUAUUUUUGGUGGUUUGGAUAUUGAAAACCUAUGAUUAAAAAAAAAAUUGUCAUUAUUAGUUAAACGAUUAUGACACACAAAAACUUAAUUCAUUAUGGCAAAAAGUGAUUAUAAGUGUUCAUAGAAGUUAAACGAAUAGAUAAGAUGUGAUUGUUAGUAACUCUCUCUAACAAACAAGUCUACAGAAGACUAUCUCUAGUUUGCUACAACUUUUUAACCUUUACUCGUUUUGGAGUGAGAGAUAGCUCCAAAGUUUUAUCAUCUGAGGAUCAAUUAGGAACGAUUGUUCACUCACUAAUCAAUUCUUCCAUCUAUUCCAUGAAAACUCAAGUUAAAGUAAAUGAGUUCAAUGUACACUUCCAUCAGUAUGAGAUAGAAAUUAGAAACUAUGUGAAUUAUGUUUGCACAAGAGCAAAUGAAUAAAUGUGAUAAAGAAUAGGGAGAGGGUGAUAAAGAAUUUCCUGGUUGAGCUCAAGUUUAACUCCUAGGGAUUAUUUAGUUUAAGGAAGGUAUAUUGGUUUUUGAAUUUUGAGGGGAAUGAUCUAGGUAUUGAGAAUCUUCAUCGCAAGAACCUAUCUUAGUGGCUAAAUGAUGAUGGUGGUUUACUAUGGAAGUCAAUUCUUUAUUGUAUAGUAUGAUUAAAAGUCACAUAACUUAUAUCGAGAAUGACUUUUGAAUAUUAAAUUAGUAUUAUUGAUUUUGCACAUUACAUUAAAAGCUAUUUUUAGUGUAAUUUUUAUCUGUUUGUAUCUUGUGUACUUUGUUUAAUUGUCAUCCGUUUUUUAAUUAUGUGUACAAAUGGAUUAAUAGGUGCAUAGUUUUUCAAAAGUAAUUCUCAGUAUAAUGUACACACAUGUCUAUCUCGUGUAUUUCAUCCAAAGGUCAUCUGUUUUACAAUAUACAUGUGGGAUGAGAUAAUAAUUAAUUUUUUUUGUCUAAUAAUAUUUUCUCUUCCAUGAAAAAAGAAAGUAACUAAAUUUAUUAGCGAGUGAGCAUAAUAUAUAUUAAAUCACAAAAUUCAGGAGAUAAUGAUAUAAGUUCCUGUAGUUUUGAUUAGAAAUACAAGAAUUACUUGGUCUGAAUUUUUUUUCAAUUAGGUAUAUUUAGAAUGGAAUACUUUCUCCUAUUUGAUUUGCAUGUGCCUGCACUGCACGAGAUCUAGAUCAUACUGACAUCGAUUUGGACUAUAUAUUACUAAUUUAUUGUAUAUUACUAUUUAGUAUUUAGAUAGUUAUGACUAAUAAGAAAUACUAACCAUUAAAAUUAUUGUUAUUCUAAAAUCUGUCAAAUAUUUGCUCAAACGUAGAGGGAUGUGCCUUUGUAUACCAACAAAACUAUGCAAAAUAUCUUCUAUUUAGUUAGUAGUAGUCUGUCCCACUUAAUUUACAAGUGAAACUUGAGUCGGUACUUAAAUUUAUUCAUCAAGUUUUACCCAUAUUUUUUACGUCCCAUCUGAUGUUAAUUUUUGUAUGCUAAUUGUUAGUAGAAAGACAAACUUUUCUUGAAACUAUAUAUAUUUCACUUGUUUUAGUGACACACUUAUGAACAUUACUAAUCAGAACUACGACAACAAACAGUUUUUUAUGAGAGUUUCAGAUAAUUUCUUUAUCGAAAGGAGAAAAUGUUAACCAGCCGCACAAGAUCUAAAACUAAGAAUCUUUAAAUCUGAAAUGAUAUUAGACUGCCAAGUACUAUCCUAUGCUUUUGUCUAUCUAUGGUCCAAAAAUAGAAGACCUAAAUUGAGAUAGGAAUAUGAUAUGCAUGGUUAGUUGGGGAUAGAUAACUAGAUUAUACCUAAUGAGAGGAUGCUCCUUCGGUAAAAUACAAAAACUCUAAAAUUAAAAAUCAGUUAGUUUAGGAGUUUAGAUACAAAAUUCUCAUAAACCUUCUUAUUUCUUUCUCCGCCAUAUGAUCAAAAAGAAAAAAAUAAAAAAAAUAAAAGGAAUGCUUUCCUGAUGCAAAUAAUACGGAACAAAAAAAAAGCUAGGGCCAAACAAAACCAAGAGAAUUUGAAAGAGAAGAAGCAAUAAAUUUUCUAUAAUAGAAAAUGAAAGUACGAGAAGAGGAAAAAAUGAAAGAGGUAGAGAGUAUAAGACUGGACUGAUUAAUAAAGAAAGAAACGAAAGUGCUGGGAACAAUAAUUUCUUUACACCAGUAAUGGGUUGGUUAAGACUAGCUAGAUACAGCCCCCCCAAAAGCAAAAGGUCACUGUCUUCUUUCUUUCCCUGUCUUGUGCAGAAAAAAAAAAUGGUACAAAAAAAAUUGCAGUAGCCUUGUAGUGCUCUCUUUAGUCAUUCAUCCUCUAGUUAGGUGUUUUCCACUUUUACAAUAUUAGUCCAACCACUCAAAGACAAACCAAUUCACUUUGCCGGCCAGAAACUUCACCAUCCGCCAUUACUGCUGCCUUUUCAAGCUCUGUAAUCUGCCCCACUUUACACUGUUUCCCUCUCUAGGGUUUUUCAGCCAGUAGUUUUGUGAAGACCCACCUUGAUCCCCUUCUCUAGGGUUAAUUCUUUUCUUCACCAAAUAUCUCAGUAUGGUUUAACAGGUGGAUAUAUCAUGAAAAGAACUAUCAGAAAUCCAGAGUCUCAACCACUCUGCAGGUUAUUUUUUUUCUUGGAUCUCCCUCUUAGGGCACACAGUGGAGUAAUGACAUGUCAAGAUCUCAUUGCUAUCUCAUCAUAUAAACUUUUGAGAUGGAUAGAGAGGGAAAACAACAGCGAAACGGAGAAAAGCAAAGAAUACCAGGAUUUCACUGUUAAAAAAUCCAGAAAUCGAAAGAAGAGAAUAAUUAGAGGAGUGGCAAGAGAGCAGGUUCGCCCUUACGUCUCCCUUCCUGCCAGCCUCCCUGAAUUUGUUUCUCAUCCCAACUUGAAAAAUGGGGAAUCUCCAUUUUCCCACGGGAAUUCUUAUUUGUCUAUUUUAUUCUAGAAGAAACAAUUUAAUUAAAAGUAUGUUUUUUCUAUACAAACAAAAAAAAAAAAAAAAACUAUUUCAAAAAAA
This is a long non-coding RNA of Carica papaya (papaya), 3617 nucleotides long. RefSeq lists it as uncharacterized. The record is from RefSeq and is a predicted model, not a curated record. NCBI's taxonomy places the organism in Eukaryota, Viridiplantae, Streptophyta, Magnoliopsida, Brassicales, Caricaceae.